AUCAUGGAGAGUUUGAUCCUGGCUCAGAACGAACGCUGGCGGCGCGUCUUAAGCAUGCAAGUCGGACGGCAAGGAGGAGCAAUCCUCCCUAGAGUGGCGGACUGGUG
RNAcentral lists this ribosomal RNA (107 nucleotides) under Spirochaetaceae bacterium. RNAcentral describes it as "partial 16S ribosomal RNA". It matches the Rfam family "Bacterial small subunit ribosomal RNA", at positions 1 to 108 of the family's 1533-position model. The record is from RNAcentral. Lineage: Bacteria; Pseudomonadati; Spirochaetota; Spirochaetia; Spirochaetales; Spirochaetaceae.